This 581-nucleotide ribosomal RNA is filed under the name uncultured bacterium. Its description in RNAcentral is "bacterial SSU rRNA". It matches the Rfam family "Bacterial small subunit ribosomal RNA", at positions 61 to 638 of the family's 1533-position model. The record is from RNAcentral.
GUCGAGCGGUAACAGGGGCAGCUUGCUACCCGCUGACGAGCGGCGGACGGGUGAGUAAUGCAUAGGAAUCUGCCCGAUAGUGGGGGAUAACCUGGGGAAACCCAGGCUAAUACCGCAUACGUCCUACGGGAGAAAGGGGGCUUCGGCUCCCACUAUUGGAUGAGCCUAUGUCGGAUUAUCUAGUUGGUGAGGUAAUGGCUCACCAAGGCAACUGAUCCGUAGCUGGUCUGAGAGGAUGAUCAGCCACAUCGGGACUGAGACACUGGCCCGAACUCCUACGGGAGGCAGCAGUGGGGAAUAUUGGACAAUGGGGGCAACCCUGAUCCAGCCAUGCCGCGUGUGUGAAGAAGGCCCUCGGGUUGUAAAGCACUUUCAGCGAGGAAGAACGCCUAUCGGUUAAUACCCGGUAGGAAAGACAUCACUCGCAGAAGAAGCACCGGCUAACUCCGUGCCAGCAGCCGCGGUAAUACGGAGGGUGCAAGCGUUAAUCGGAAUUACCGGGCGUAAAGCGCGCGUAGGUGGCUUGAUAAGCCGGUUGUGAAAGCCCCGGGCUCAACCUGGGAACUGCAUCCGGACUGUCA